This 305-nucleotide ribosomal RNA is filed under the name uncultured bacterium. RNAcentral's name for it is "bacterial SSU rRNA". It matches the Rfam family "Bacterial small subunit ribosomal RNA", at positions 338 to 664 of the family's 1533-position model. The record is from RNAcentral.
CCUACGGGGCGCAGCAGGGAAUAUUGGGCAAUGGGGGAAACCCUGACCCAGCGACGCCGCGUGAGGGAAGAAGGUUUUCGGAUUGUAAACCUCUGUCCUUGGUGACGAUAAUGACAGUAGCCAAGGAGGAAGCCACGGCUAACUACGUGCCAGCAGCCGCGGUAAUACGUAGGUGGCGAGCGUUGUCCGGAAUUACUGGGUGUAAAGGGAGCGUAGGCGGGAGAGCAAGUCGACUGUGAAAUCUAUGGGCUUAACCCGUAGCUGCGAUCGAAACUGUUCAUCUUGAGUGAAGUAUAGGCAGGGGG